GCUGACGAGUGGCGAACGGGUGAGUAAUACAUCGGAACGUGCCCAGUCGUGGGGGAUAACUACUCGAAAGAGUAGCUAAUACCGCAUACGAUCUGAGGAUGAAAGCGGGGGACCUUCGGGCCUCGCGCGAUUGGAGCGGCCGAUGGCAGAUUAGGUAGUUGGUGGGAUAAAAGCUUACCAAGCCGACGAUCUGUAGCUGGUCUGAGAGGACGACCAGCCACACUGGGACUGAGACACGGCCCAGACUCCUACGGGAGGCAGCAGUGGGGAAUUUUGGACAAUGGGCGAAAGCCUGAUCCAGCAAUGCCGCGUGCAGGAUGAAGGCCUUCGGGUUGUAAACUGCUUUUGUACGGAACGAAAAAGCUUCUCCUAAUACGAGAGGCCCAUGACGGUACCGUAAGAAUAAGCACCG
This 412-nucleotide ribosomal RNA is filed under the name Delftia sp. RNAcentral describes it as "bacterial SSU rRNA". It matches the Rfam family "Bacterial small subunit ribosomal RNA", at positions 87 to 495 of the family's 1533-position model. Lineage: Bacteria; Pseudomonadati; Pseudomonadota; Betaproteobacteria; Burkholderiales; Comamonadaceae. The record is from RNAcentral.